CUUGGUCAUUUAGAGGAAGUAAAAGUCGUAACAAGGUCUCCGUAGGUGAACCUGCGGAGGGAUCAAUAUCGAACCUGGCCCCCUGGCCACGUCUGCCUUGCAAACCCGUGGAAGCGAACCGUGCUUCGGCGCCUCGGCGUCGAGUUUAUGCUGCAGUUGGUAGUUUGCGUCUGAAUCAAACCGAAGAACAUAAAACUUUCAACAGAGGAUCUCUUGGCUCUUGCAACGAUGAAGAACGCAGUCAAGUGCGAUAUGUAGUGCGAUUUGCAUGAAUCUGUGAGUCAUCUAAUCUUUGAACGCAACUUGCGCUGGGCGACCAGCAUGUCUGUCUGAGUGUCGUGAAUUUAAAUGGCGAGCAUAUGCAUAUGCAUAUGCUCGUUGACUUGGCGGCCAGCGAUGCUGCCGCUGAAAUGCAGCAAGACGGGGGACUCGAACGCUGCCCAUCUGCCAGCGACUCUGUCAUCUGGUGGGCAGCCUGGAGCCCCAAACAAAACCUUUGACCUCAGCUUAGGCAAGAUCACCCGCUGAACUUAAGCAUAUCAAUAAGCGGAGGA
RNAcentral lists this ribosomal RNA (554 nucleotides) under uncultured Ascomycota. RNAcentral's name for it is "eukaryotic LSU rRNA". The stretch from base 194 to 339 matches the Rfam family "5.8S ribosomal RNA". The record is from RNAcentral. Lineage: Eukaryota; Fungi; Ascomycota.